ACAGUAGCUUCUAAGCUAACCCCCUUUUUAUUUUUUGCUAAAGCUAACCCAAACCCUACUACUACACUUCUCUCUCCCGCACACCUCUCACUAUCUCUGUUUCUCGCUCUCUCUCGCGCCCUCGCCUCUCUCUUGCUCUCGCGCUCUCCUCUCUCUCUCUCUCUCUCUCUCUCUCUCUCUCUCGCUCGCAGGUCCCUCCAUCGA
This 204-nucleotide long non-coding RNA is filed under the name Ananas comosus (pineapple). RNAcentral describes it as "long non-coding RNA (ACOM_LNC034250)". The record is from RNAcentral. Lineage: Eukaryota; Viridiplantae; Streptophyta; Magnoliopsida; Poales; Bromeliaceae.